Pyrus x bretschneideri (Chinese white pear) is the source of this 1991-nucleotide RNA transcript. It is a transcript of the gene named 7-hydroxymethyl chlorophyll a reductase, chloroplastic, with no coding region annotated. The record is from RefSeq and is a predicted model, not a curated record. NCBI's taxonomy places the organism in Eukaryota, Viridiplantae, Streptophyta, Magnoliopsida, Rosales, Rosaceae. The transcript is spliced from 20 exons.
GCAAGGAAUAUGUGGUGGAAACAGCCUCAGCACUCCAGUCACCCUCACUCUCUCCUCUCUCCUCUCUCUCAGCUGCUGCUGCUGCAAUGUGUUCUGUCAUUGCCAAGCUCCCUUCGCUUCCACUCUCCCUCUCCAUCGUCUCCUCAUCUUCUUCUUCCUCCAAAGAUGGGAAAACCAACUCAAAGUCGGUGAAGCUGAGAGAGGACUGGCGGCAACGCUCCAGGCCCAUUCCACCCGGCGGCACUUACCCGGCUAAAGACCACUGCAGUCGUUGCGGGUUGUGUGACACAUAUUACAUAGCCCAUGUCAAGGAAGCUUGUGCUUUCUUAGGAGAUGGAAUGUCUAAGAUUGAAGGUUUGGAACCUGUAGUUCAUGGUAGAGGGAGGAAACCGGGUUCCUCAGAUGAAAUGUACUUGGGUGUCUAUGAAGAGCUCUUGUAUGCUCGUAAAGUAAAGCCUGUCGAAGGAGCUCAGUGGACAGGAAUAGUAACAACUGUUGCAAUCGAAAUGCUGAAAUCAGGCAUGGUGGAGGCCGUCAUUUGUGUACAGAGUGACCCAAACGACAGAUUUACUCCGCGACCUGUAUUAGCAAGGACACCAGAGGAAGUUCUAGCUGCUAGAGGUGUCAAGCCGACAUUAUCUCCUAAUCUGAAUACUCUUGCCCUAGUUGAGGCUGCAGGUGUAAAAAAGCUUCUAUUCUGUGGUGUGGGUUGCCAGGUGCAAGCAUUACGAUCUGUGGAGCACCACUUAAAUUUGGACAAGCUCUACGUGCUAGGAACAAAUUGCGUGGACAACGGGACUCGAGAAGGCCUUGAUAAGUUUCUGAAGGCUGCGAGUAGUGAACCAGAGACAGUUCUUCAUUACGAGUUUAUGCAAGAUUACAAGGUUCACUUGAAGCAUUUGGAUGGUCAUAUUGAAGAGGUUCCUUAUUUUUCUCUGCCAGCAAAUGACUUAGUUGAUGUAAUUGCUCCUUCUUGUUAUAGCUGUUUCGACUAUACAAACGGUUUAGCGGAUUUAGUUGUUGGAUACAUGGGGGUGCCAAAAUAUUCUGGAAUCAGCAUGACUCAACAUCCACAGUAUGUUACGGUAAGAAAUGAACGUGGAAGAGAGAUGCUCAGUCUGAUUAAAAAGCAUUUGGAGAUCACUCCAACAACUAGUAGUGGUACUCGCCGACCAUUUACCAUGGAGACUGUUAAGGCUGAUGAUACUGCUAAGAUGGGAAAAGGUCCUGAGCCUGCACCAAAGUUUGUCGGCAAUGUGAUCGCUUUCUUGUUAAACUUGAUUGGGCCAAAAGGUUUGGAAUUUGCUCGUUAUUCGCUCGAUUACCAUACCAUCCGGAACUACCUAUAUGUAAACCGAACAUGGGGAAAACAAAGAGCUGAUCAGCAUAUGCCUUCAUAUGCAAAGAAGAUUGUCGAUUCCUACAACAAGAAUGGUGAAAUCGAUCGGAUUCUUUCCACCAAGCCCAAGUGAUCGCAUUAGCUGGUGAAAAUGUAAAUGAAGUGGGAACUUCAAUGUCUAUGGAAUUUUGUCCUUAAUCUGUUCUCUCAUGCAGGGUUACCAUGUCUCUACGGUUGAAGUGACCGAAUAAAGUACGAUGUUAUAGUCAAAGAUCAGCGGCGAGAGGGAUGAAUUAUCUAUCAAACACGAAGGAAUGGGGGGUUUUCAGGUGUAACCAGGGAAGGAUACGGGUGGUGGGUUAACUCCCCAUGUGCUUUCGUAAUUUCGAUGGCAGGGUCGAGUAAUGAGCCUUAGAAAAUCCGAGUGAGAAUUGACAAAAGUGCAGUUGCAGAAUUCAUUCUGUAGGGCCUUUACUUCUUUGCCUGGAAAGAGAGAGCCACAAGUAGCAUAUGCAAAUGAAUUGGUUUUUCUUCGUUUAGAAUAUUUUGGUUUGUGGUGGUAAAGAAAUUUAGGGUGUUCUCUGUAAACUUCAUCUACAUGUCUGAAUAAAAAGCAUGGGGACUUAAUAUGGGUUGUCCCUUUACUACUACA